RNAcentral lists this long non-coding RNA (1045 nucleotides) under Triticum aestivum (bread wheat). RNAcentral describes it as "long non-coding RNA (TAES_LNC026735)". The record is from RNAcentral. Lineage: Eukaryota; Viridiplantae; Streptophyta; Magnoliopsida; Poales; Poaceae.
ACACGACCAACUCCUUCUCUUCCUCUUGCUUCAUCUUCGCCGCCCCCUUCCUUCUCCGACCAAGUCGCCGUGCCCAGGGCGUCAGGGUAUGUAUUCCUUCUCCCUCGCUCGGCGAUUUACUUCGGUUUGGGGGCGGAAUUUAGGAUGUGCUGCUCGUGUCGCGCUACAUCUGUGUGUGUAGCAGCGCAAAUCUUGAUACUACUAUAAUUUUGGAGAGCUGGGCGGCCAAUCUGAGAUCUGUUUGAUGGUGUGUUCUCAGUAAGCUGAAACUGGGCGUUCUUUGACCAGCUGUGCCAAUGCAGCCCCUGUAUCUCUAAACUUAAGAAACGGGGGCAUGUAUGUUGGGGUAUGAAUUUUCUAUCUGUUUGCUAGAGAUUUAAGUCAUAUGUCUGGCAGCACAUGGACCACGUUUGUUGAUGCAACCCAAACAUGCCUCCUUUUCAUUCUUGAGUUUUCUAUAAUUGGAACCAGCUGCGAUUGUUAUCAAGUUGAGAGCUGGAAGCACCUAGUUCCUUAGGUAUAUCCAACUUGCUGAAAGUUUACAAUGCCGGGUGUUGUACAUUGUACUAACUAACUGACGCCUUCGGCAUCGGUGGCCCUUUGCCUGCCCCAGUCUGCCACCGUAUGUCCAACUCAAUUGCUUAUCAGAUUUUUGGUCUCUUAUUACCAACCUCUUUUAAUAGAAAGAAAAAUCAGGUUUCUUUUUAUCAACUUGCCCAUGGCAAGAUUACAAUGUGGAUUACUCCUUCAUCUCCUGAAAUAAGACUUUUUUUUUUGUUCUGAUCAUCCGGCCUGCUUGUUCCACUUCAGGUGUAUAAGGAGGAGCAUGUGGCUGACCAUGUAUCUAGCACACGCGCUGCAAGAACAGGAUGUCUUGUCCUUGAAGGAGUUGGUUGACACUAAAACAUUGGAGGAAUCACCCAUCACUGCCACUUCCUUGCCCUCUCCGCAGGACACGAUUGAGAUCUCACCAUCAUCAUGGUGCUGCCUUUCCUCCAACCCCAGCAUGGCUAGAGAAGGCAGGGUCCACCGAGCUGCAUCUGGC